UUCAGCUCACCUGCCACGCCUGAUUGCUUACCCAUUCCACCUGGUCCCCGCCCUACUUAAACACCUCUCAGCCUCUGCCUCUUUGCCAGAUUAUCGACAGCCAUGAGCCAGUAGAGAUCCAGCGUUUCCUUCCAAGCCUUCAGUGUUUCUUCGACCCUUUUCUGUCCAUGGAUUGCCCCCCCCCCCCCUGCCAAGCCCUUCACGGAUCCCAACUGUUCUGGAUUUCUGGACCCUGACCCAAGCUUUGCCUCACGACCACCGAGUAUUGCCUGCCCCUCAAGCUAAGUUUGCUCUCUCUGCCCUCCCGUGUAUGACCUCUGCCUGAUUACUGUCUUAGUCCCUGGGUGUUGCCUCUUGGAUAUCCUUGUGGAGAGUUUCAUUGAUUCCACAGCAGCCUGUUCUACCUGGUUCCUCUGCUCCACCUGUCCACUGCACUACAGUGCUGUGUUUGAUGAUCACAUCCUGAGCAGCAACCAGAAUCUGAAAAUUAAAUUAAACUUGUUUUUUCCUU
Molecule: long non-coding RNA, 511 nt
Organism: Xiphophorus hellerii (green swordtail)
Lineage: Eukaryota; Metazoa; Chordata; Actinopteri; Cyprinodontiformes; Poeciliidae
Exons: 2
Source: RefSeq, a predicted model, not a curated record